Molecule: non-coding RNA, 25 nt
Filed under: Mus musculus (house mouse)
Lineage: Eukaryota; Metazoa; Chordata; Mammalia; Rodentia; Muridae
Source: RNAcentral
UGGUUGCUGCUGUAGGAGCCCUCAG